AUUGAACGCUGGCGGCAGGCUUAACACAUGCAAGUCGAGCGGGGAAAGGUAGCUUGCUACUUAACCUAGCGGCGGACGGGUGAGUAAUGCUUAGGAAUCUGCCUAUUAGUGGGGGACAACAUCUCGAAAGGGAUGCUAAUACCGCAUACGUCCUACGGGAGAAAGCAGGGGACCUUCGGGCCUUGCGCUAAUAGAUGAGCCUAGGUCGGGUUAGCUAGUUGGUGGGGUAAAGGCCGACCAAGGCGACGAUCUGUAGCGGGUCUGAGAGGAUGAUCCGCCACACUGGGACUGGAACACGGCCCAGACUCCUACGGGAGGCAGCAGUGGGGAAUAUUGGACAAUGGGGGGAACCCUGAUCCAGCCAUGCCGCGUGUGUGAAGAAGGCCUUUGGGUUGUAAAGCACUUUAAGCGAGGAGGAGGCUACCGAGAUUAAUACUUUUGGAUAGUGGACGUUACUCGCAGAAUAAGCACCGGCUAACUCUGUGCCAGCAGCCGCGGUAA
Molecule: ribosomal RNA, 501 nt
Filed under: uncultured bacterium
Lineage: Bacteria
Description: partial 16S ribosomal RNA
Rfam family: Bacterial small subunit ribosomal RNA
Source: RNAcentral